GUAGGUGAACCUGCGGAAGGAUCAUUAACACGUUAUCCACGUUUCAUCAAACUCGCGAACUUAUCAGGUUUUGGGUUAAUAGCGGGAGGACGACUUCUUUCUUUUUCUUCUCUCGAAAGAGAGAGAGGAAAGAAAAAGUGAACUUCCUUCUUUCCCUUAAACUGUGUGUUUUGUCAUUUUUUGACAAACCUUAAUCACCCCCUUUAUAAUUUUUUCUUUUUUCUUUUGGUUCUCCAGGAACCCGAGGAAA
This 250-nucleotide unclassified non-coding RNA is filed under the name plant metagenome. Its description in RNAcentral is "partial contains small subunit ribosomal RNA, internal transcribed spacer 1, and 5.8S ribosomal RNA". The record is from RNAcentral.